AACGAACGCUGGCGGCAUGCCUAACACAUGCAAGUCGAACGACACCUUCGGGUUUAGUGUCGCACGGGUGCGUAACGCGUGGGAACCUGCCCUUAGGUUCGGAAUAACUUCCCGAAAGGGGUGCCAAUAGCGGAUAAUGUCCUCGGACCAAAGAUUGAUUGCCUUCGGGUGGGCCCGAGGGGGAUUAGCUUGUGGGUAGCGUAAAAGCCUACCAAGGCGACGAUCGAUAGCUGGUUAGAGAGGAGGGUCAGCCACACUGGGACUAGGACACGGCCGGGAAUUCUGGGGGAGGGAGGCGAGGCGGAUAUAGCAAUGUGGGGGGCGGGAUGAUGGAGCAAUGGUGGGAGAGCGAUGAAGGCCUUAGGGUUGUACAGCUGUUUUACCCGGGAUGAUAAUGACAGUACCGGAAGAAUAAGCUCCGGCUAACUCCGUG
Molecule: ribosomal RNA, 433 nt
Filed under: uncultured bacterium
Lineage: Bacteria
Description: partial 16S ribosomal RNA
Rfam family: Bacterial small subunit ribosomal RNA
Source: RNAcentral